This 254-nucleotide ribosomal RNA is filed under the name uncultured bacterium. Its description in RNAcentral is "partial 16S ribosomal RNA". It matches the Rfam family "Bacterial small subunit ribosomal RNA", at positions 524 to 776 of the family's 1533-position model. The record is from RNAcentral.
GACGAACUGUGCAAACGUUAUUCGGAAUCACUGGGCUUGAAGAGUGCGUAGGCGGUUUCGUAAGUAGGGUGUGAAAGCCCCCAGCUCAACUGGGGAACUGCGUCCUAAACUGCGAGGGCUGGAGUGAGGUAGGGGUGUGUGGAACUUCCGGUGGAGCGGUGAAAUGUGUUGAUAUCGGAAGGAACGCCGGUGGCGAAAGCGACACACUGGGCCUUGUCUGACGCUGAGGCACGAAAGCCAGGGGAGCAAACGGG